This 352-nucleotide ribosomal RNA is filed under the name uncultured bacterium. RNAcentral's name for it is "partial 16S ribosomal RNA". It matches the Rfam family "Bacterial small subunit ribosomal RNA", at positions 338 to 682 of the family's 1533-position model. The record is from RNAcentral.
CCUACGGGUGGCUGCAGUGGGGAAUAUUGCGCAAUGGGCGAAAGCCUGACGCAGCGACGCCGCGUGAGGGAUGAAGGUCUUCGGAUCGUAAACCUCUGUCAGCAGGGAAGAACGGUCACUGUGCUAAUCAGCAGUGAAUGGACGGUACCGGCAAAGGAAGCACCGGCUAACUCCGUGCCAGCAGCCGCGGUAAUACGGAGGGGGCGAGCGUUAAGCGGAAUUACUGGGCGUAAAGCGCUCGUAGGCGGUAUGUCAAGUCAAGGGUGAAAUCCCCGCGCUCAACGUGGGAACUGCCUUUGAAACUGGCAACCUGGCGUGUGUGAGCGGCUAGUGGAAUUCCAGGUGUAGUCGU